AACCGUGAAGCUGGGAAAGCAACCAAUCCAUACUAUGGUAGAUCCAUUAUAGAGGAUUACCAAACAUAAAUAAAAAAGAAAUAAAAUAGUCGGUACAUAGAGUUAAUAUCAUUCCCAAACGAGAAACAGAAGUACCGAUCAUACAGUUUCUUUUGGAAGUGAGGCAAAAAAUCUGUCAAGCUUUUUUUUGAAAGUGUUAAUGUUGACAAUAUCUGGUACAUUUCUACCGAUGGUAAUGAUAUCUAGUGGUAACGAAUUCUAAUCAACAGCCACACAGUUACAUAAAAAAGUUUAUCAUUGUUUUUCUAUACAACAUCGUGUUAGAGAAAAAGAUUCUCUUGAAGUAUCUUGGGAACGUGCACAAGUAGUACAAAUUGAUCAAUUAAAUGCUAACGAACUACAUACGUUGUUGGCAUGAUAACAAACCUGAUGAAAUUCUCGUAACCAUAAAAUGGUAGCAGAGGGUAGUUACAUUUAAUAAUAGUUAAUCGUUUUAUCGCCAUUGUUUCGAAAUUUACUGAAAUCACGAAAUCAAAGAAGAACUUUAAUAAAGUAAAAACCAUGGGUAGAAACAAAAAAAAUAAAAAAACAACCGUCGGAAGAAGAAUCAACAAAUAAUAAUGAUGUCGAUAUAUUUAUGGUGUCACUUAAACAAAAGAAAACAAUAACAAAGACUCACUUAAUGAAAACAAACUAUAAACUGUUGCAGUUAUUCGAUGAUAAUAUGUUUAGCCCAUGUGAGUUUAAAGAACAUCAAAAGUAUAUGAAAAUCAACAUCAGGCAGUAAUCGAAUUGUUAACACAGUUAUCCUAACAGUACGAAAUUAUAGAAAAUGCUGAUAAAAUGUGUAUAGUAGUUGACGAAAUCGACAUAGAAUCCACUUAAGUUAUGGAUAAAUAAAUAAACAUUUAUUCAGUAGAAAAGGCAGUUCUUCAAGCAUUACACCAGCUGUUUCAUCUUAUGUUGAAAUAUUGCAGCGAAAAGAAAUACAAAAUCAAGACUAUUUUCGAGAAGCAGAAUGCUUAAACGUAAAACUCAAAGCUACUUUCAACUCCAAAUUUAAACCCUGAAGCAAAAGGAUUUUUGAAGAUUUUGGUCUGAGAGUUAAUGAACCAAGAGCUGGCAAAUCAGGAACUAGCGAUACCGAAAAUUUAUGCCUUAUUUCGACCCUCUAUUACUCAGCAAAAUUUUAUAAAUUGAUGAAGAAAUUAUUGUCAGAUUAUAUAACUUUCUACUUGCAAAGACCCAAUUGAUCCGGAAAAAUUAAUAAAUUCUGCAAUGAUACAUAUAAGAAGUUGUUAGAGACAUUUGAUUGGUUCAAGGUCCCAGCUUCCGUUCAAAAAGUAUUAGCUCAUGCUGGGGAAAUUAUAAUUAUUUCACCAGUUCACUUACUUUAAUGGGAGAGGAAGCAAUUGUAUUUCGACACAAAAUUUAUAAAUUUGAUCGUGAACAUUAUGCAAGGUAAAAGAAUAGAAAAACAAACUUAUUUGACAUUUUUGUUCGAGGUAUACAUACUUCUGAUCCCUUAAUUAGUUCAGUCUCAUUAACUUAAAGAUUGAAAAGUAAGAAAAUAUUGCGCCUACCGGAAAAAGUUAAAAGUUUGUUAGCAGUUUAUAGCAAUGUUAGAGAAAAUUUAUCUGGCAUGGAAUCAGAUGAAAUUAAUGACUUCGAUGAAUCAUAUUUAAAUGUUUCAGGGUUAUUCAUUCUUAUAUGCGCGUCUAUUUAU
This is a non-coding RNA of Hydra vulgaris (swiftwater hydra), 1726 nucleotides long. NCBI's taxonomy places the organism in Eukaryota, Metazoa, Cnidaria, Hydrozoa, Anthoathecata, Hydridae. The record is from RefSeq and is a predicted model, not a curated record.